This 672-nucleotide ribosomal RNA is filed under the name uncultured Flavobacterium sp. RNAcentral describes it as "partial 16S ribosomal RNA". It matches the Rfam family "Bacterial small subunit ribosomal RNA", at positions 1 to 664 of the family's 1533-position model. Lineage: Bacteria; Pseudomonadati; Bacteroidota; Flavobacteriia; Flavobacteriales; Flavobacteriaceae. The record is from RNAcentral.
GGCCGCGGGAAUUCGAUUGAGUUUGAUCAUGGCUCAGGAUGAACGCUAGCGGCAGGCCUAACACAUGCAAGUCGAGGGGUAGAACACUUCGGUGUUUGAGACCGGCGCACGGGUGCGUAACGCGUAUGCAAUCUACCUUGUACAGGGGAAUAGCCCAGAGAAAUUUGGAUUAAUGCCCCAUAGUAUAUAACCUUCGUAUGUUGGUUAUAUUAAAGUUCCAACGGUACAAGAUGAGCAUGCGUCCCAUUAGUUAGUUGGUAAGGUAACGGCUUACCAAGACGAUGAUGGGUAGGGGUCCUGAGAGGGAGAUCCCCCACACUGGUACUGAGACACGGACCAGACUCCUACGGGAGGCAGCAGUGAGGAAUAUUGGUCAAUGGUCGCAAGACUGAACCAGCCAUGCCGCGUGCAGGAAGACGGUCCUAUGGAUUGUAAACUGCUUUUAUACAGGAAGAAACCCUCCCACGUGUGGGAGCUUGACGGUACUGUAGGAAUAAGGAUCGGCUAACUCCGUGCCAGCAGCCGCGGUAAUACGGAGGAUCCAAGCGUUAUCCGGAAUCAUUGGGUUUAAAGGGUCCGUAGGCGGUCUUAUAAGUCAGUGGUGAAAGCCCAUCGCUCAACGAUGGAACUGCCAUUGAUACUGUAAGACUUGAAUGCUUAGGAAGUAACUAG